GACGAACGCUGGCGGCGUGCUUAACACAUGCAAGUCGAACGGAAAGGCCCUGCUUUUGUGGGGUGCUCGAGUGGCGAACGGGUGAGUAACACGUGAGUAACCUGCCCUUGACUUUGGGAUAACUUCAGGAAACUGGGGCUAAUACCGGAUAGGAGCUCCUGCUGCAUGGUGGGGGUUGGAAAGUUUCGGCGGUUGGGGAUGGACUCGCGGCUUAUCAGCUUGUUGGUGGGGUAGUGGCUUACCAAGGCUUUGACGGGUAGCCGGCCUGAGAGGGUGACCGGCCACAUUGGGACUGAGGUACGGCCCAGACUCCUACGGGAGGCAGCAGUGGGGAAUAUUGCACAAUGGGCGGAAGCCUGAUGCAGCAACGCCGCGUGCGGGAUGACGGCCUUCGGGUUGUAAACCGCUUUCGCCUGUGACGAAGCGUAAGUGACGGUAAUGGGUAAAGAAGCACCGGCUAACUACGU
This 467-nucleotide ribosomal RNA is filed under the name uncultured bacterium. RNAcentral's name for it is "partial 16S ribosomal RNA". It matches the Rfam family "Bacterial small subunit ribosomal RNA", at positions 28 to 506 of the family's 1533-position model. The record is from RNAcentral.